GACGAACGCUGGCGGCGUGCUUAACACAUGCAAGUCGAACGAAAGGACGGGAAGAGCUUGCUCUUUCCGGAAUUGAGUGGCAAACGGGUGAGUAACACGUAAACAACCUGCCUUCAGGAUGGGGACAACAGACGGAAACGACUGCUAAUACCGAAUAAGUUCCAAGAGCCGCAUGGCCCAUGGAAGAAAAGGUGGCCUCUACCUGUAAGCUAUCGCCUGAAGAGGGGUUUGCGUCUGAUUAGGCAGUUGGUGAGGUAACGGCCCACCAAACCUACGAUCAGUAGCCGGUCUGAGAGGAUGAACGGCCACACUGGAACUGAGACACGGUCCAGACUCCUACGGGAGGCAGCAGUGGGGAAUCUUCCGCAAUGGGCGAAAGCCUGACGGAGCAACGCCGCGUGAGUGAUGACGGCCUC
Molecule: ribosomal RNA, 416 nt
Filed under: uncultured bacterium
Lineage: Bacteria
Description: bacterial SSU rRNA
Rfam family: Bacterial small subunit ribosomal RNA
Source: RNAcentral